GGUGGCUCAAUGGUAGAGCACUUGCCUCGCAUGCACGAGGCCCUGGGUUCAAUUCCUCAGCACCA
RNAcentral lists this transfer RNA (65 nucleotides) under Dipodomys ordii (Ord's kangaroo rat). It matches the Rfam family "tRNA". Rfam says of the family: Transfer RNA (tRNA) molecules are approximately 80 nucleotides in length. Their secondary structure includes four short double-helical elements and three loops (D, anti-codon, and T loops). The record is from Rfam by way of RNAcentral. Lineage: Eukaryota; Metazoa; Chordata; Mammalia; Rodentia; Heteromyidae.